This 1454-nucleotide ribosomal RNA is filed under the name metagenome. Its description in RNAcentral is "bacterial LSU rRNA". It matches the Rfam family "Bacterial large subunit ribosomal RNA", at positions 1229 to 2805 of the family's 2925-position model. The record is from RNAcentral.
AUGGAGAGCUUUCUGUGAAGCCGGGUUGUAAGGCAUCCGGUGGAGAGAUCAGAAGCGAGAAUGUUGACAUGAGUAGCGAUAAAGAGGGUGAGAGACCCUCUCGCCGUAAGUCCAAGGGUUCCUGCUUAAAGCUAAUCUGAGCAGGGUAAGCCGGCCCCUAAGGCGAGGCCGAAAGGCGUAGUCGAUGGGAACCAGGUUAAUAUUCCUGGGCCAGGAGGAAGUGACGGAUCUCGAAGGUAGUUUGCCCUUAUCGGAUUGGGUGGGCUGCUCAGAGGUUCCAGGAAAUAGCCCUCCAUUAGACCGUACCCUAAACCGACACAGGUGGACUGGUAGAGUAUACCAAGGCGCUUGAGAGAACCACGUUAAAGGAACUCGGCAAAAUGCCUCCGUAAGUUCGCGAGAAGGAGGCCCAUAUGUGCGCAAGCAGGUGUGGGGGGCACAAACUAGGGGGUGGCGACUGUUUACUUAAAACACAGGGCUGUGCGAAGCCGUAAGGCGACGUAUACAGUCUGACGCCCGCCCGGUGCUGGAAGGUUAAAAGGAGGGGUGCAAGCUCUGAAUUGAAGCCCCAGUAAACGGCGGCCGUAACUAUAACGGUCCUAAGGUAGCGAAAUUCCUUGUCGGGUAAGUUCCGACCUGCACGAAUGGCGUAACGAUCUCCCCGCUGUCUCUAACGUGGACUCAGCGAAAUUGAACUGUGUGUCAAGAUGUACACUACCCGCGGUUAGACGGAAAGACCCCAUGCACCUUUACUCCAGCUUUGCACUGGUAUCAGGAUUGUGAUGUGCAGGAUAGGUGGUAGGCAUCGAAGCGGGGACGCCAGUUCUCGUGGAGCCUCCCUUGAGAUACCACCCUUCGCCAUCUUGAUAUCUAACCGCGGCCCGUUAUCCGGGUCCGGGACCCUGCAUGGUGGGGAGUUUGACUGGGGCGGUCGCCUCCCAAACAGUAACGGAGGCGCGCGAAGGUAGGCUCAGACCGGUCGGAAAUCGGUCGUUGAGUGCAAUGGCAGAAGCCUGCCUGACUGCAAGUCUGACAAGACGAGCAGAGACGAAAGUCGGUCAUAGUGAUCCGGUGGUCCCAAGUGGGAGGGCCAUCGCUCAACGGAUAAAAGGUACGCUGGGGAUAACAGGCUGAUGAUGCCCAAGAGUCCAUAUCGACGGCAUCGUUUGGCACCUCGAUGUCGACUCAUCUCAUCCUGGGGCUGGAGCAGGUCCCAAGGGUAUGGCUGUUCGCCAUUUAAAGAGGUACGUGAGCUGGGUUUAGAACGUCGUGAGACAGUUCGGUCCCUAUCUGCCGUGGGUGUAGGAGACUUGAGAAGAGUUGCCCCUAGUACGAGAGGACCGGGGUGAACGAACCACUGGUGGACCAGUUGUCGUGCCAACGGCAGUGCUGGGUAGCUAUGUUCGGACAGGGUAACCGCUGAAGGCAUCUAAGCGGGAAGCCCCCUUCAAAAC